AAAGCUCUUGGCAAACACUGCCAUCUUCACCACUGUCAUCAGAUCCAAGUUCCAAUCCCAGCUCAGCCUUUUAUUGAUUGUGUGGCGUUGGCUAGGUUGCCUAACCAGCGUCAGACUUUCCUCACUUUUACAAUGAAGAUUAUAUCUAGCUUGUAGGUUAAAUAAUUUGGAGGCAGCACUUGGUAUGCAAAAGGUACUAAUUAUGUAAUUAUUAUUACAUUUUUUUCUCUGUAGUGAGAAGGCACAGGGUAGGAAUAUAACACAUUCUUUCUGACUUGAUUAUUUUCCCUCUCUGCUGAAAGAAUACCAGGCCCCUUCGAAAUCACUCUAGUGGACUCUGAAAUUUGUGUAGUGUUCUAUUAAGAUAUGUCAAGGAUAGUCUCUCAUUUGACUUAAUUGUUUUUGCUGACUAUAACUGGGGAUAAAUUGCAUCUUUUACAUGUUAAUUUCAGCCAUAUUUUGUGCCUAUUCAAGUUCAUUUCAGAGAGGUGGCGUCUGGGCUAGGAAUAAACAUUGUCUGAACACUUUGUGUUCAGCACUGGGUCCAGAUUUAUCUGGACAAUCUCAUUUUGUCUUCAGAGCCACCUUUUGUUAUUUCUCCAAGAGGCUAUAAUCAUACCCAUUUCACAGAGAGAGAAACAGACAAAGAGCCGUUAAAUAGGUGGUUCAAGGUCACUCAGGGCAAAGCCAAGUUGCAGAGCCAGGCUGUCUCCCUCCAGAGCCCUGGCUUUUUAUCACUCUACUAUCUCCUCACUCUGUGGGCUUUUCUUCCAGAAGGAUCUUUGCUCUGGCAAAAUCUUCUCAAAAUGAGUCUCCAAGACAGACAGCGAAGGGCUCUGUGCAGACCAAGGAGGGUGAGUGGAGAGAGGCAGCGCUCCCUAGUGGUCAACCUGGGGCCCAAGUGAGGCCUGACCUUGGCCAUGCCAGCCUCAGCCCUUCUUGAGUUCCUCUGCUCUUUCCUCUCCUUGAACUUCUGGGUCCCUGCCGUAGUUCAGCCCCUGGCCUUCUCUAGCCUCAAGGUCUAAGUGGACAAUGGCUGUCCCCACUUUCCACCCCAUGGGGACAGCUGUGCUAGCUUCUCUGUAGGUAAAGAGUUCAGUGAGGCACCUAAUGUGAUAAUGGAUUUCCAGGUGCUCUGGUCACAUCUAGGUGAACUAGUUUCCAGGUCUGGUUCCCCUGCAGGAUGAUGCUGUUGCCAUGGAGACCAGGUGAAGACUGGUGAGGAAGUGGGAAUGUGGGGUGUGCGGUGUGUGUGAUGCAGGGAGUCAAAUGCAAAAUUGCUGGUUGGGUCUAAUCUCUCUCUGACUCUCUCUGUCUCUGUCUCUCCAGCAAACAGAACAAAUGUUACUUCACGAACACACAAGUUGCAAUAUCCCUUUUUAAAGAGCAGCAUGGUCCCUUAUGUCCAGGCUUGCUGUGGUGGGUUGAACAAUAACCGUGUGUGGACUAGAUCCGGGCUGCAUGUCACAUAAUUCACAUUCUUGGCUUCCUGAGUCACUGUCAUUAUCUAACCUUUCCGGGGAGCCUGCUGUGUGUGGGCGUAGAUGGACAGGAAGUCAGAUAAGCCCCAUCUGUGUGCACAUCUGCUUGGGGAGUGAUUUACCUGAUUCUGGGGAAAGCUUUGCAUUUAAAGUAACGUGACUGAAAAAUUCUUGUCUGAAUUUCUAAAUCCCUUGUUAGAGUCUGUGGACAUUUCUGGACUGGAAGACACAGGGCUGGCAUGAAAGGCUGAAUCAGACGGCAGAAAGCUUCUUUCUUUUCUUUUCUUUUCUUUUCUUUUCUUUUCUUUCUUUCUUUCUUUCUUUCUUUGUUUUUCUUCUUUCCUUCCUUCCUCCCUUCCUUCUGUCCUUCCUUCCCUUUCUUUCCUUCUUUCCUUCUUUCUUUCCCCACACCUGCAGCAUAUGGAAGUUCCCAGGCUAGGGAUAGAUUUGGAGCUGCAGCAUCUGGCCAAUGCAGCUGCAGCGAAGCCAGAUCUAAGCUGUAUCUGCGACCUACUCUACACCUUGCAGCAAUGCCGAAUCCUUCACCCACUGAGCAGGGCUACGGAUGGAACCCGCAUCCUCAUACAUACUAGUCGGAUUCUUAACUCACUGAGCCACAGCAGGAACUCCAGGAGGCUUGUUCUUUCACACGCCUGGUGGAGGAUGCUGGCUGUUGGCUGAGGGCCUCAGUUCCUCUUCCUGUGUCCUCUCUACCUGAACUGCUUUGGGCUUCCUUACCGCCUGGUGGCUGGGUUCCAGAAGCCAGCACUGAGAAGUUGAUGGGGAAGCGAGGAAGAGAGAAUGUAGUGUUGGGCAGAAGCUGGAAUAUUCUUAGACUCUAGCCUCUGAAGGCCCACGGCAUCACUCCCACCAUUCACCAGUGUUGGAGCAGGCUCAGGCUGGUGCCCAGACUCAAGGGGAGGAAAAACAGAUGCCACCUCUCAGCAGGCAGGGCACCAGUCACAUAGGGAGAAGAGCAGGCAGGGUGAGAUGGACGUCUCCAGCUUGGGGAAAUGCGGUCGGGCCCCAUCGAGAGACGGUGGCCAAGGCGGGAGCAAUGGCGACGGCAGCAGAAUGAGCCCUGACCAUCCCUCCCACAGCCACCAGAGGGACUGCUCAAUCCUGUUACAGGUUUGGAAAGACCUACAAAGCUAGUUUUAACAGUUACCCUCCCUAUGUCUCUUUCCAUCCGAGUCUUGCUCUGAGCCAGUUAAUCUGAGAAACACUCAUGAUUGUUGAUAGGUGCGAAUGGGUUACCCGUGCCAAGAGACCUAAUUGCAGUUAAUAGGGAUCCACCUCCUGGGGACAUGAUUACUUAGCCUAGAAAGUGACUGGAUAAUGGCUCUAGAAGAAGAGAGUGGGCACAAAUGCUCCCUUUUGGUGCCAUUCAGUUCAUAGGGUAUGGGCAGCCACCUGUCUUCUCAAAUGCAACCAAGGAUCUGUGUGACAGCUCAAUUAAUGCAACAUUGCUAAGUGCAAGUGGCCCUACAACAAGAGCUUAGAGGACUCAUUUAUUUUCAGGGUCAAAAAUUUCCCUUUUGGAAUUCCCAUCCUGGCUCAGCGGAAAUGAAUCUGACUCGUAUCCAUGAGGACUCAGGUUCAAACCCUGGCCUCACUCAGUGGGUUAAAGAUCCAGCGUUGCCAUGAGCUGUGGUAUAGGUCGCAGACGAGGCUCAGAUCUGACCUUGCUGUGGCUGUGGCGUAGGCCCGCGGCUACAGCACCAAUUCAACCCCUAGCCUGGGGAUCUUCAUAUGCCGUGGGUGCAGCUCUAAAAAAAGAGAAAAGGAAAAAUUCCCUUUGACCUGGAAAACCAUAUCAUGAUGCUACAAAUAAUUGUGUUUGAGUGGUAGAACUAAGGAUGAUUUUUUCUUCCCUUAUUUUCUCUGUUUUCUAAUUUCUUCCUGCAUAUGCAUUACUUUUAUAGUUAAAGUUUAAAAAAAUUGUCGUUUAAAGCAUUUCAUCAGUAAGAGUUGGGAAAACAGGAGACCUGAGCUCCAACCCUCCUCUAGUGACAUCUGCCAGGAUCCUGGAUAGCUCUGUGACUUUCUUUCCACAAGUGUCAAUGUUGGCAUCAUUCCUAAUUCUUGCUACUUUCCAAGGUUGCUGUGGUUAUCAUGAAUGAGUGGCCGUGAAGAAUUUGGAAAGAGGCAUUAUUGCUAAGGUAAGAUUUAUUAUUAUUUGUCCUUUGUCUUCCUGAACAAACUAGACUUCAUCAAAACAAAAAAAGUGAGGCCAAAUUGCUUACCUGUUUACCCUAAUGGUUGACAACAUGUUUUUUUUGUUUGUUUGUUUGUUUGUUUUUGUUUUGUCUUUUUGCCUUUUCUUGGGCUGCUCCCACUGCAUUUGGAGGUUCUCAGGCUAGGAGUCACAGUCGGAGCAGUAGCCGCCCGCCUACGCCACAGACACAGCAACUUGGGAUCCGAGCUGCAUUUGUGACCCACACCAUAGCUCACAGCAACGCUGGAUCCUUAACCCACUGAGCAAGGCCAGGGAUUGAACCUGCAACCUCAUGGUUCCUAGUCGGAUUCAUUAACCAUUGAGCCAUGACGGGAACUCCAGGAAAUAAAUUUCCGGGAGUUCCCGUCGUGGCGCAGUGGUUAACGAAUCCGACUAGGAACCAUGAGGUUGUGGGUUCGGUCCCUGCCCUUGCUCAGUGGGUUAACGAUCCGGCGUUGCCGUGAGCUGUGGUGUAGGUUGCAGACGCGGCUCGGAUCCCACGUUGCU
Molecule: long non-coding RNA, 4206 nt
Filed under: Sus scrofa (pig)
Lineage: Eukaryota; Metazoa; Chordata; Mammalia; Artiodactyla; Suidae
Description: lncRNA (ENSSSCG00030000260.1)
Source: RNAcentral